UACGAAGGGGGCUAGCGUUGUUCGGAAUCACUGGGCGUAAAGCGUACGUAGGCGGACCGUUAAGUCGGGGGUGAAAUCCCAGGGCUCAACCCUGGAACUGCCUUCGAUACUGGCGGUCUGGAGUCCGGGAGAGGUGGGUGGAACUCCUAGUGUAGAGGUGAAAUUCGUAGAUAUUAGGAAGAACACCAGUGGCGAAGGCGGCUCACUGGCCCGGUACUGACGCUGAGGUACGAAAGCGUGGGGAGCAAACAGG
RNAcentral lists this ribosomal RNA (253 nucleotides) under uncultured bacterium. RNAcentral's name for it is "partial 16S ribosomal RNA". It matches the Rfam family "Bacterial small subunit ribosomal RNA", at positions 524 to 776 of the family's 1533-position model. The record is from RNAcentral.